This 253-nucleotide ribosomal RNA is filed under the name uncultured bacterium. RNAcentral's name for it is "partial 16S ribosomal RNA". It matches the Rfam family "Bacterial small subunit ribosomal RNA", at positions 524 to 776 of the family's 1533-position model. The record is from RNAcentral.
UACGGGGGGGGCAAGCGUUGUUCGGAAUUACUGGGCGUAAAGGGCUCGUAGGUGGCCAACUAAGUCAGACGUGAAAUCCCUCGGCUUAACCGGGGAACUGCGUCUGAUACUGGAUGGCUUGAGAUUGGGAGAUGGAUGCGGAAUUCCAGGUGUAGCGGUGAAAUGCGUAGAUAUCUGGAGGAACACCGGUGGCGAAGGCGGCAUCCUGGACCAACACUGACACUGAGGAGCGAAAGCCAGGGGAGCAAACGGG